AGGAUAAAAGUAGAGCUCCUUGAAGUCCAAAAGAGGAUCUUUCUGGGUGGAUUGUGCUGCUGAGUUAUGGAUCCCACACUCUUAUCUCUUCAUUGCUGAUCAGAUGAUAGGCUUGUGGCUUGCAUACCUCAGGAGCUCCAUUAACCCCUGUGGUUUGAUCUUUCUUUGGAUUGAAGGGAGCUCUGCAGUUGCUGGAC
This 197-nucleotide microRNA precursor is filed under the name Morus notabilis. RNAcentral describes it as "MIR159 microRNA precursor family". It matches the Rfam family "MIR159 microRNA precursor family". Lineage: Eukaryota; Viridiplantae; Streptophyta; Magnoliopsida; Rosales; Moraceae. The record is from Rfam by way of RNAcentral.